AUAGCAUGAAGUCAAACAAGAGAACCCGCUGAAUUUAAGCAUAUAAGUAGGCGGAGGAAAAGGAACUAAACAGGAUUCCCUUAGUAAUGGCGAACGAACAGGGAUAAGCUCAGGUUGGAAACCAGGGCCCUGGUCCUGGGUUGUAGCCUGCAGACGUAGCGCUAUCGGCGGCUUGAGCGAAAGCCUCUUGGAACAGAGCGUGUGCCCAGGUGAGAAUCCUGUGUUUCGCUUGAAGUCCGCCGUGUACGGUGCUUGCUCUCAAAGUCACGCUCCUCGGAAUUGGAGCGUAAAUCAGGUGGUAGAUUUCAUCUAAAGCCAAAUACAGACCUGAGACCGUGAGGGAAAGAUGAAAAGGACUUUGGAAAGAGAGUUAAAAGUGCUUGAAAUCGCUGAAAGGGAAGCGAAUGGAACCACAUGCUUGCUGAGAUUGCCGCCAAUGCUUGUGAGCCCUGGUCAUUAAAGCGCAAGCUUCUUGUCUAGGAGUGAGUUGGCAUUUGUAGUGCUUCUUAGCUUGCG
RNAcentral lists this ribosomal RNA (516 nucleotides) under Durusdinium sp. D1a. RNAcentral describes it as "eukaryotic LSU rRNA". It matches the Rfam family "Eukaryotic large subunit ribosomal RNA", at positions 1 to 540 of the family's 3401-position model. The record is from RNAcentral. Lineage: Eukaryota; Dinophyceae; Suessiales; Symbiodiniaceae.